This 269-nucleotide ribosomal RNA is filed under the name uncultured bacterium. RNAcentral describes it as "partial 16S ribosomal RNA". It matches the Rfam family "Bacterial small subunit ribosomal RNA", at positions 88 to 354 of the family's 1533-position model. The record is from RNAcentral.
CCGGCGACCGGCGCACGGGUGAGUAACACGUAUGCAACCUGGCCGUGACAGAUGGAUAACCGGGAGAAAUCCCGCCUAAUACAGCAUGACGCCGGGAAGGGACAUCCCUUCCGGCCAAAGGGGGCGACUCCGGUCACGGAUGGGCAUGCGGCGCAUUAGGUAGUUGGUGGGGCAACGGCCCACCAAGCCGACGAUGCGUAGGGGUUCUGAGAGGAAGGUCCCCCACAUUGGAACUGAGACACGGUCCAAACUCCUACGGGAGGCAGCAG